This 448-nucleotide long non-coding RNA is filed under the name Nicotiana benthamiana. Its description in RNAcentral is "long non-coding RNA (NBEN_LNC036518)". The record is from RNAcentral. Lineage: Eukaryota; Viridiplantae; Streptophyta; Magnoliopsida; Solanales; Solanaceae.
AGCACUGGAUAUCUUGUGAAGUCAGUAUGGAUGUUCUGCUUUCUCUUUGAAUUUGAGUCUGACAUCACUUUUAAAUCCCAAUUUAUGUUUUCCUAUUUGCAGCUUGGGUUGCCAUGCUUUCCAAGGGAAUUCCCUGAUUGCAGUGCAUAUUCUUGUUUUAUGGCCUUGGAGGAAGCUGCUUAUGAUAAAAAGCCAGUGCUUCGUUCUCCUCACACAAGGACUUAGAAAGUUCCAGUUCCAUCUCCAUGGGACAGUCUCCGCUUUGCUAUAAAGCACUCAAUGGGAAGCUCAUGGUCGGGUACAACAUGAACAACUUUUACCAGAUGAUAUGAUCAGAAACAUAGCAAUGAAUAGUACAUAUCUGAGGUAUGAUAAUAAGUCAGAGCUCCGUUCUCCUUACACAAGGACUUGGAAAGUUCCAGUUGCAUCUCCAUGGGACAGUCUCCGU